Molecule: ribosomal RNA, 1047 nt
Filed under: Dothiora pyrenophora
Lineage: Eukaryota; Fungi; Ascomycota; Dothideomycetes; Dothideales; Dothioraceae
Description: SSU rRNA
Rfam family: Eukaryotic small subunit ribosomal RNA
Source: RNAcentral
AGUAUAAGCAACUAUACGGUGAAACUGCGAAUGGCUCAUUAAAUCAGUUAUCGUUUAUUUGAUAGUACCUUACUACUUGGAUAACCGUGGUAAUUCUAGAGCUAAUACAUGCUAAAAACCCCGACUUCGGAAGGGGUGUAUUUAUUAGAUAAAAAACCAGCGCCCUUCGGGGCUCCUUGGUGAUUCAUAAUAACUAAACGAAUCGCAUGGCCUUGCGCCGGCGAUGGUUCAUUCAAAUUUCUGCCCUAUCAACUUUCGAUGGUAGGAUAGUGGCCUACCAUGGUAUCAACGGGUAACGGGGAAUUAGGGUUCUAUUCCGGAGAGGGAGCCUGAGAAACGGCUACCACAUCCAAGGAAGGCAGCAGGCGCGCAAAUUACCCAAUCCCGACACGGGGAGGUAGUGACAAUAAAUACUGAUACAGGGCUCUUUUGGGUCUUGUAAUUGGAAUGAGUACAAUUUAAAUCCCUUAACGAGGAACAAUUGGAGGGCAAGUCUGGUGCCAGCAGCCGCGGUAAUUCCAGCUCCAAUAGCGUAUAUUAAAGUUGUUGCAGUUAAAAAGCUCGUAGUUGAACCUUGGGCCUGGCUGGCCGGUCCGCCUCACCGCGUGUACUGGUCCGGCCGGGCCUUUCCUUCUGGGGAGCCGCAUGCCCUUCACUGGGCGUGUUGGGGAACCAGGACUUUUACUUUGAAAAAAUUAGAGUGUUCAAAGCAGGCCUUUGCUCGAAUACAUUAGCAUGGAAUAAUAGAAUAGGACGUGCGGUUCUAUUUUGUUGGUUUCUAGGACCGCCGUAAUGAUUAAUAGGGAUAGUCGGGGGCAUCAGUAUUCAAUUGUCAGAGGUGAAAUUCUUGGAUUUAUUGAAGACUAACUACUGCGAAAGCAUUUGCCAAGGAUGUUUUCAUUAAUCAGUGAACGAAAGUUAGGGGAUCGAAGACGAUCAGAUACCGUCGUAGUCUUAACCAUAAACUAUGCCGACUAGGGAUCGGGCGAUGUUAUCAUUUUGACUCGCUCGGCACCUUACGAGAAAUCAAAGUCUUUGGGUUCUGGG